UACGGUGGGGGCAAGCGUUGUUCGGAAUUACUGGGCGUAAAGGGCGCGUAGGCGGUUCAUUAAGUUGGAUGUGAAAACUCUGGGCUUAACUCAGAGCCUGCAUUCAAAACUGAUGGGCUGGAGUUCUGGAGGGGAUAGCGGAAUUCCUGGUGUAGCGGUGAAAUGCGUAGAUAUCAGGAGGAACACCGGUGGCGAAGGCGGCUAUCUGGACAGAAACUGACGCUGAGGCGCGAAAGCUAGGGGAGCAAACAGG
RNAcentral lists this ribosomal RNA (253 nucleotides) under uncultured bacterium. RNAcentral's name for it is "partial 16S ribosomal RNA". It matches the Rfam family "Bacterial small subunit ribosomal RNA", at positions 524 to 776 of the family's 1533-position model. The record is from RNAcentral.